Molecule: long non-coding RNA, 921 nt
Organism: Armigeres subalbatus
Lineage: Eukaryota; Metazoa; Arthropoda; Insecta; Diptera; Culicidae
Exons: 3
Source: RefSeq, a predicted model, not a curated record
ACUCUGUAGUGACCACAACUACUCAGUUGCGUUCAAAUCUACCAUGAGCGUGUAUGACAACAUAAUGGUAAAAUAAACUAUAAGUGUUUUCAUAACACCUGAUUCAUAGUAGUGUGAACUGCACACGUGAUGUGAGAUCCAUAGUAAGACUAACCAUCAAUUGCAGUAGACACAGUCAGUUCUGCCAAACAGCCAGCCAAAGAAAAAUUGCAAACCCAAAAAACAUUUUUUCGUUUGAAUUAGAUGGUACGAUUACUCGCGAUUACUCUCAAUAAGGGAUUUGAAACAAAUCAACUAAUUCAUCAUUUAUCGAUUCAAAUUUGGUAAUACUUAUCGACGAAUUCAGCAACACCGAAUUAAACUUGGAAUUAAAUCAAGGUUAUCGAGUGCAUAAUAUUAUGUGUAAGAACGAAAUCCUUCAUUUGGGUGAUGAAACGACGAUGAGAGAAACAAUGUUGAAAAAAAGUAUACGCAGAAUAUCAACCGAAAAUAUUAUCAUAGAAGUGCACUCCACCGUGUCAAUGGAAAAGAUGCUCAGUCCAGUUUCAGCCGAAGUUCCUGCUUAUUGUCCACUGGCGUUCAAAUAAUCCAUCUCCCAGUUCCUGAAUUCACACGAGACGGCACAAGAUUAGUUUUAUACCAACAAAUUUCCUCCUAGAUGUGGGAAUUUGAGUGAUACAACAUGUAUACUGUAUAAAUAUAUAAUGAAGUGUUAUCAAAAUUAUGUUUUCUUUCUUUCGCAUAAUUGAAAUCGGAAAUUAUCAAACAUUAUUAAACAAACGCAUAGUAUUUUCUCACCAUAUUAUAGUAAAAUGAACCCUCAUUCCGUGGUGAAUUCCACUUUGUGUAUGUGCUAUGGUUUAUAGUACACAUGACGUAAGCAUAGUAAAACCUACUGUAUUCUAAACCAGUAAACAACAU